Molecule: small RNA, 854 nt
Filed under: Pongo abelii (Sumatran orangutan)
Lineage: Eukaryota; Metazoa; Chordata; Mammalia; Primates; Hominidae
Description: retained intron
Source: RNAcentral
AGUGAACCGGGAGGUACUACCAGGUAAGGAAGGUGCGGUGGCCCCAGCCGUGGGUGAGAGGAGCUCCGCUCUGACACCCCCGCUCCUGUAGGUCGCCGCCGUUGCUCCGCUCGCUCAGAGAGAGCAUGGCCCUGAGAGGCGUCUCUGUGCGGCUGCUGAGCCGCGGACCCGGCCUGCAUGUCCUUCGCACGUGGGUCUCGUCGGCUGCGCAGACCGAGAAAGGCGGGAGGACACAGGGCCAACUGGCCAAGUCCUCGCGUCCCCAGUUUGACUGGCAGGACCCGCUGGUGCUGGAGGAGCAGCUGACCACAGAUGAGAUCCUCAUCAGGGACACCUUCCGCACCUACUGCCAGGAGAAACUCAUGCCUCGCAUCCUGUUGGCCAAUCGCAACGAAGUUUUUCAUCGGGAGAUCAUUUCGGAGAUGGGGGAGUUGGGUGUGCUGGGCCCCACCAUCAAAGGAUAUGGCUGUGCUGGGGUUUCGUCUGUGGCGUAUGGGCUCCUGGCCCGAGAGCUGGAGCGGGUGGACAGUGGCUACAGGUCGGCGAUGAGUGUCCAGUCCUCCCUCGUCAUGCACCCUAUCUAUGCCUAUGGCAGCGAGGAACAGCGGCAGAAGUACCUGCCCCGGCUGGGUGAGUGGCUGCCCAUGGGGCCUGGUGGAAGGAAGACAGUCUCUGAGGUCUGGAACUCAAGGGUGGGGCUGUCCCCUGAGCCUAUUCUGUCCCUAUCUCAAAGAUAGCAUAAGUGGCCACCCCCUGCCAGACCCUGGGCUUCACCUGGAGAUCUGAUCCCUGGCCAGCGUGAUUGUUCCCCUCUGUGACCACCGUCAUCUCCCUAUGCUUUCUGUGUUCCCCAG